GGAAGGAUCAUUAUUGAUUGCGAAUCGUUGCCUUCUGUGCUGGCCAGCUCUGGCAAGUGCACGUCGGUGACUUUCAUCCAAUACCCUGUGAACCUUUGGCCUUUGCUAGCUUCGGCCGGCAGAGGAAUUUACACACAC
This 138-nucleotide unclassified non-coding RNA is filed under the name uncultured fungus. RNAcentral's name for it is "sequence contains ITS1, 5.8S rRNA gene, ITS2 and 28S rRNA gene". The record is from RNAcentral. Lineage: Eukaryota; Fungi.